This 74-nucleotide transfer RNA is filed under the name Verrucomicrobiales bacterium. Its description in RNAcentral is "tRNA-Gly". It matches the Rfam family "tRNA". From Rfam's summary of the family: Transfer RNA (tRNA) molecules are approximately 80 nucleotides in length. Their secondary structure includes four short double-helical elements and three loops (D, anti-codon, and T loops). The record is from RNAcentral. Lineage: Bacteria; Pseudomonadati; Verrucomicrobiota; Verrucomicrobiia; Verrucomicrobiales.
GCGGGUGUGGUUCAAUGGUAGAAUGUGAGAUUCCCAAGCUUGGGACGUGGGUUCGAUUCCCACCAUCCGCCCCA